AACGAACGCUGGCGGCAGGCCUAACACAUGCAAGUCGAGCGCCCAGCAAUGGGAGCGGCAGACGGGUGAGUAACGCGUGGGAACCUUCCUGAUAGUACGGAAUAGCCCAGGGAAACUUGGAGUAAUACCGUAUACGCCCGUAAGGGGAAAGAUUUAUCGCUGUCAGAUGGGCCCGCGUAGGAUUAGCUAGUUGGUGAGGUAAUGGCUCACCAAGGCGACGAUCCUUAGCUGGUUUGAGAGAAUGACCAGCCACACUGGGACUGAGACACGGCCCAGACUCCUACGGGAGGCAGCAGUGGGGAAUCUUGGACAAUGGGCGCAAGCCUGAUCCAGCCAUGCCGCGUGAGUGACGAAGGUCUUCGGAUUGUAAAGCUCUUUUGCCAGGGACGAUAAUGACGGUACCUGGAGAAUAA
This 413-nucleotide ribosomal RNA is filed under the name uncultured bacterium. RNAcentral's name for it is "bacterial SSU rRNA". It matches the Rfam family "Bacterial small subunit ribosomal RNA", at positions 29 to 489 of the family's 1533-position model. The record is from RNAcentral.